RNAcentral lists this long non-coding RNA (4123 nucleotides) under Fragaria vesca (wild strawberry). Its description in RNAcentral is "long non-coding RNA (FVES_LNC000740)". The record is from RNAcentral. Lineage: Eukaryota; Viridiplantae; Streptophyta; Magnoliopsida; Rosales; Rosaceae.
CCAGAAGCCACAAUUAAAGAGGAUUACUAGAGCUCUCAUUUGAUUAUGCUGGGGGGCUUAUAGAGCCAUUUAUGAAGCAGGCUAUUUUGGAAAAUUACAGGAAUUCGCCUAUCUUGCCCCUAGUAUCCAUAAAACCAAUCUUAGUGGUUUUAAAAAUAUUCUAGUUUAUGCCUGUUUCGGCGUGAUUUCCGAGGGGGAAGAAUCACAUGAAAUGCAGGAAGACACCAUCUUCAAAACUCAUAACUUGUCAAUCAUGAGCAAACGGCGUAAGAGGGAAGACCGGGUUUGCCGGCCUUCGACCCUCCGAUGCCUAAGUCAGCCAUAUGAGAAUAGAGAUAAGGUGUGAAUAGGGUGAAAAUAGAGGCUUACCCAAAUGAGGGGUGAAAACUUGUAUUUAUAGAGAUAGGGUGAUUGCACCCUAAAAGUACCAUUUUGCCCUUACUGGAGAGUGUAUUACUAUUGUGCCCUCAAGGAAGAGUGUAGGUUUCUUGGGCCUAGUUGGGCCUAGUUAAGGCCCAAGCUCGUUUUAUGUGGCAAUAUGUGCAGGGACGGAAGCACAGCAAAGGCUGUAUGGGCUACAGCCCAACCGAAAAUUGGUCCAAAAAACCCUUAGUAUAUAUAUAUCACAGCCCAGCCCAAUAAAAAAAAAAAAAAUUAAUACCCUCACUAACCUCUCUCAGUUUGCAUCGUCUCCUCCACAACUCUUCUCUCUUCUUCUUCACCUCCUCUCUGCUUCCACCCCUCUCAAUCUCUGCUCCACAACUUUUCUCCUCUCCGAUUUCAUAGACAAUUCCAUUCUUCACCUCCUCUCUGACCCGCGCCGUCUCCGACGUCUCCCAGAUCCGCUCCGUGCCUCCGUCCUCAACGCCCUCGGCCCUGCCCCGACCACGAGGCCGUCGACACCUCCAAGGCCAAGCUCGCCGCCAUCUUCUUCCCGGAUUCGUCAGCAGACAGCAGGUACGUCUGAAGCAAUCGUCUAUUUCUUCCUUUCUCUCUUUGAUAAUCAAUUUUUCUCUAUUCGAUCCAUAUUCAAUCAUCUGAAGCAAAAAAAACAAAUAGAUUGAUCAGUUUGAUUGUGGUGAAUUGUUCCCUGUCGUAUGCUUGUUUAUCAAAACAAACAUUGGAAUACUAACUGUUUGGUUAAUUAGUUCCUAAUAUGUUGAUUCUGACUAAAUGUUACUGAUAUCAAUGUUAACUAAGGCAUGCAAGUCUGUUCAUACACUUAUAUUUAUAAAUUUGUUUGUGGUGAAUUGUUGGUUGAUUCUAUUUUUUCGCUUUUAGAUAUGGAUGGAAGAAAUCUGUUGUUAAUCUUGUUGUUGCAUUGGAACUGUGGCAUUUAGAGAAUGUGUCUGCUUGUACAAUCCUUGUGUUAUUGAUGUUGAAAUUGAGGCAAAUACGAGAUCACCGAAUUGCUUUAGAUAAUCCUUGUUAUUGAUGUUUCUCAUUUGUAACUUGCUAUGGUUGUUACUUCAUUGCCUGUAUGAUCCAGCCACCAUAAUUCUGUCAUAUGUGGCGUUUAGUCACUUUAGUGCUUGAAAAUAUGCAUCUUACCAAGUGGUCCUUUUGAUGGCCAAAUAAACCCUAAAUCCUUCCCUGGGUUGAACUUCCUAUCUCUGUGCCAAUACCAGCUCCAGCAUUAACCCAAGUAAUUAUAUCUCUCUGAGAAGUAACUGCAAAUUUGUGUCAAAUGACAGCAGAAUGCAGCAGCACACUGUUUUUGUUAAGUGAGAGAAAAUUAGGUUUCAUAUAUUCUCUCCUUAACAAAGGUUUGAUAUACAUACUAAUAAUAGUGUGAUUGACUGCAGUGACAUAUUUAUAUUUUGUAAUGGUGUGCCAUACUUAAACGUUGUGUAUGUGGAACUAGGAGGUGCUGAUCUGCUGCAAACAAAGUUUACUUGAGUUAUGAUGAUCUGCUGCUGAACCUUCAGGACAUGAACUUGGAGGUGCUGAUUUGCUGCUACAAACAAAGGUUUUCUUUCACAGGUUUCCUUUCUCUCUUUUGGAUUCUGCAUAUUUCUUUCACAUGUUUCUUUUAGUUGUUAAGGGCAUAUCCAUAUUUGAAGUUAGUGGAACCCGGAGUAAAACCCGACGGAUACGAUUUAGAUAGUUAUAUGUUAUUGUUUGUUAUUUUCUUACAAUCAUUUUCGUUGUAGUUUUUAAUUUAUGAGGUUUUGGUUUUAUGUCCCCCUCAUAUGUUUUUAAUAUAAAGGCGUGAGGAUGAGCCUCCCACUGGGUUCCAAACCUCAAAAAAUAUUUUGUAAGUGUGCUGUCUGAAAAUUAACCCAACCCAUUUUCGAUUCCUGGUUCCGUCCCUGCAUACAGCCUUUGCUGUGCUUCCGUCCCUGCCUGUACUUGCUGUUUUGCUGAACUUGUGUGUCGGGAUCCAGGGGUCUGGGAGUUUUGCUGUCCCGAAAGGGUUCCGAGUUCCAGGUACUAUGACUCUUCCCUUUUUUGGCGUCGUUGAUGUGCCGGGAACCAAGAAAGGGGGGUGCCGAGAAGAUGAGUCCUGACACCAAGGGACGAGCUGUGCCGGAGCCGGGAGGGCUUGGGAUUGGUAUCGAGACCAGAGACCCCGAGAGUAGAAGGGGCGGCGGGCGGCGUGAGCCCGGGAGGCCGGGGAGGGGAUGCUGGGAGUUGGGUUCCGGGUCCCCGGGAGAGAGGUGCCGGGAUAAGCAAACUCGCCGGGAAGGAGGGGACCGGAAAAGUAGCCUCGCGGAGAGAGAGAAAGGCUUUGGGUGCCCAGAGUAAUUCUGAGUUUGGUAAUGCCGGCGCGUGGGUCAUUGCCGGAGGUUGCGGUGGGUGUCGGGAGAGGUGUUGGGUCUAAACCUGCAAACAGGUACCGGUACAGGGAGGAGGGAUGUCGUGAACCCGGGAUGCACUUUCGAGUUGGUUGGGGAGUGCUCAAUCUUGGGAGGGAGAGGUUUUGGUCUCGGGUUGCCGGGAGAUGGGUGCCGGGAGUGGGUCUAGGCCUGGCAUCGCCGCCGGGAUGGGAAGAUGGUCGCUGAAACAAGUGGUGCCGAGGGCAGUUGUUGACUGCGAAGGCAAGUCCUUAGGGAGGUGUCGGGUUCCGGUGGCGGGGACCCGGGAAGGAGAGAUGGCGGGUCGCUGCCGCGACUCCGGAAGGGAGGAGUUGCCGCUGGGUCACUUGGUGCUAUUCGCUGAACCCGAGAGGUGGGCAAUAGGUGCUGACACCGAGAGAGGAACUUAGACACAGGCCAUGAUGUGUCGGGUGCCGUGAGAGAGCCGAGAAAAAGUUGCAAGUGUUGGGUUGAUUAGUAGUGCCGGGUUGCUAUAGCAGGAGCCGAAAAAAGGUUGGCAGGGAAGAUACUGCCAAGUUUCGGGUGCCAAGAGGGAGAGAGCCCAACAGCGAAAUCCAUGGGUGCCUAAAGUAAUUCUGGGUUUGGUCAUGUCGGCGCGUGGGUUGUAACCAGAGGUAGGAGAGGUCGCCGGACCUCGUGGAGGCUUGGUUUGACUCACCAAACCCUGGCGAGUCCGAUGGUGUUGGAGGUGAGCUGCCUUGUGGUAGUGGAGGCCAACCAUGGAGGAGAGAGAAAAUGUCAGAUCUAUUUUCUCUCUCCUCAAAACCCUCUGUAAUUGAAACCCAGAAGUUUUGGAAAGCUUGAUUGUCAUGCAAGUGAGAUGUAAUAUUGUAGACGAGCUCCUUGUGUUUGUGGGGAGAGGGAGCUGAGAGGGGAGAGAGAAACAGUGUCGCUGUAAAAGAAAAAAAAAUUCCAGAAAAAAGGAAUUCCGGCCAGAUGAUGAAUAUGCUCAUGGUGAGCUAAGUGAGGGUUUCCACUUGAGGUGCCCUCUUUCUAACGCCAAUUGUUUCGGUGUGAUUUCCGAGGGGGAAUAAUCACAAAAGACACCAUCUUCAAGACCUAUACCUGUCAAUCAUGAGCAAACGACGUAAGAGGGAAGACCGGGUUUGCCGGCUUUCGACCCUCCGAUGCCUAAGUCAGCCACAUGAGAAUAGAGAUAAGGUGUGAAUAUGGUGAAAAUGGAGGCUUACCCAAAUGAGGGGUGGAAAUAUGUAUUUAUAGAGAUAGGGUGAUUGCAUCCUAAAAGUACCAUUUUGCCUUUACUGGAGAGUGUAUUACUAUUGUGCUCUCAAGGAAGAGUGUAG